Molecule: ribosomal RNA, 434 nt
Filed under: uncultured Lachnospiraceae bacterium
Lineage: Bacteria; Bacillati; Bacillota; Clostridia; Lachnospirales; Lachnospiraceae
Description: bacterial SSU rRNA
Rfam family: Bacterial small subunit ribosomal RNA
Source: RNAcentral
ACGGAAGGCAGCAGUGGGGGAUAUUGCACAAUGGGGGAAACCCUGAUGCAGCGACGCCGCGUGAGUGAAGAAGUAUUUCGGUAUGUAAAGCUCUAUCAGCAGGAAAGAUAAUGACGGUACCUGACUAAGAAGCACCGGCUAAAUACGUGGCAGCAGCCGCGGUAAUACGUAUGGUGCAAGCGUUAUCCGGAUUUACUGGGCGUAAAGGGAGCGCAGACGGCAUGGCAAGCCAGAUGUGAAAUGCGGGGGCUCAACUCCUGAACUGCAUUUGGAACUGUCAAGCUAGAGUAUCGGAGAGGUAAGUGGAAUUCCUAGUGUAGCGGUGAAAUGCGUAGAUAUUAGGAGGAACACCAGUGGCGAAGGCGGCUUACUGGACGAUAACUGACAUUGAGGCUCGAAAGCGUGGGGAGCAAACAGGAUUAGAUACCCUGGUA